GAUGAACGCUGGCGGCGUGCUUAAGACAUGCAAGUCGAACGGAGUGUGUAGCAAUACUCACUAAGUGGCGAAUGGGUGAGUAACACGUAGGUGACCUGCCCUGAAGUGCGGAAUAACAGUCCGAAAGGAUUGCUAAUACCGCAUGUGGUCCCGGGCGUUAGAGAACCGGGUCUAAAGCAGUAAUGCGCUUCAGGAGGGGCCUGCGGUCCAUCAGCUAGUUGGUAGGGAAUGGCCUACCAAGGCAACGACGGAUAGGGGACCUGAGAGGGUGGGCCCC
Molecule: ribosomal RNA, 277 nt
Filed under: uncultured bacterium
Lineage: Bacteria
Description: partial 16S ribosomal RNA
Rfam family: Bacterial small subunit ribosomal RNA
Source: RNAcentral